Long non-coding RNA from Saccostrea cuccullata (small rock oyster), 322 nucleotides. RefSeq lists it as uncharacterized. The transcript has 3 exons. NCBI's taxonomy places the organism in Eukaryota, Metazoa, Mollusca, Bivalvia, Ostreida, Ostreidae. The record is from RefSeq and is a predicted model, not a curated record.
AAACGAUUUUAUUUGGUGUUCCCUCACUAUGGUCUGGAGAAAGGACUGAUGGAUAUGACUUUCAAUGAGUGUCUGUGAUGCUGCAGCUGGAAACGGUUAAUCAAUAGUCAGAAGUCCAUUUGAGUUUGACGUAGUAGGAGGAAAUCUGUUGUCCAUGACAUUUUUAAUUGCAGUUGUCACCCCCUACUGACACAGGAUGUGUCUCUGGUCAUUGACACCUACCUACAAGCAUAUAAGUAAUGACUACAAGAAUGUAGCAGCAGAGAGGAAGAGGAUUAAUUUGGAAGAAGCAAAGGAUGACACUUUCACACUCAAGAUUUUC